UACAGAGGUCUCGAGCGUUAGGCGGAAUCACUGGGCUUAAAGCGUGUGUAGGUGGAUCGGUAAGUACCUUGUGAAAUCCCACGGCUUAACCGUGGAACUGCUUGGUAUACUGCCAGUCUUGAGCCAGCUAGGGGCUACCGGAACAAAUGGUGGAGCGGUGAAAUGCGUAGAUAUCUGGAGGAACACCGGUGGCGAAGGCGACGUCCUGGACCGGUAUUGACGCUGAGGCGCGAAAGCCAGGGGAGCAAACGGG
This 253-nucleotide ribosomal RNA is filed under the name uncultured bacterium. RNAcentral's name for it is "partial 16S ribosomal RNA". It matches the Rfam family "Bacterial small subunit ribosomal RNA", at positions 524 to 776 of the family's 1533-position model. The record is from RNAcentral.